ACGGAAGGCAGCAGUGGGGAAUAUUGGGCAAUGGGCGGAAGCCUGACCCAGCGACGCCGCGUGAGGGAAGAAGAUCUUCGGAUUGUAAACCUUAGUCAACAGGGAAGAAGCAAGUGACGGUACCUGUGGAGGAAGCCACGGCUAACUACGUGCCAGCAGCCGCGGUAAUACGUAGGUGGCGAGCGUUAUCCGGAUUUACUGGGUGUAAAGGGAGCGUAGACGGUAUGGCAAGUCUGAUGUGAAAACCCGGGGCUCAACCCCGGGACUGCAUUGGAAACUGUCAAACUAGAGUGCAGGAGGGGUAAGUGGAAUUCCUAGUGUAGCGGUGAAAUGCGUAGAUAUUAGGAGGAACACCGGUGGCGAAGGCGGCUUACUGGACUGUAACUGACGUUGAGGCUCGAAAGCGUGGGGAGCAAACAGGAUUAGAUACCCUGGUA
Molecule: ribosomal RNA, 437 nt
Filed under: uncultured Lachnospiraceae bacterium
Lineage: Bacteria; Bacillati; Bacillota; Clostridia; Lachnospirales; Lachnospiraceae
Description: partial 16S ribosomal RNA
Rfam family: Bacterial small subunit ribosomal RNA
Source: RNAcentral